UUCGACGGUGAGGGGUGAAAGCUGGGGGAGCAAACCGGAUUAGAUACCCGGGUAGUCCCAGCUGUAAACUAUGCAAACUCAGUGAUGCAUUGGCUUGUGGCCAAUGCAGUGCUGCAGGGAAGCCGUUAAGUUUGCCGCCUGGGAAGUACGUACGCAAGUAUGAAACUUAAAGGAAUUGGCGGGGGAGCACCACAAGGGGUGAAGCCUGCGGUUCAAUUGGAGUCAACGCCAGAAAUCUUACCCGGAGAGACAGCAGAAUGAAGGUCAAGCUGAAGACUUUACCAGACAAGCUGAGAGGUGGUGCAUGGCCGUCGCCAGCUCGUGCCGUGAGAUGUCCUGUUAAGUCAGGUAACGAGCGAGAUCCCUGCCUCUAGUUGCCACCAUUACUCUCAGGAGUAGUGGGGCGAAUUAGCGGGACCGCCGCAGUUAAUGCGGAGGAAGGAAGGGGCCACGGCAGGUCAGUAUGCCCCGAAACUCUGGGGCCACACGCGGGCUGCAAUGGUAACGACAAUUGGUUUCGAAUCCGAAAGGAUGAGGUAAUCCUCAAACGUUACCACAGUUAUGACUGAGGGCUGCAACUCGCCCUCACGAAUAUGGAAUCCCUAGUAACUGCGUGUCAUUAUCGCGCGGUGAAUACGUCCCUGCUCCUUGCACACACCGCCCGU
Molecule: ribosomal RNA, 665 nt
Filed under: uncultured archaeon
Lineage: Archaea
Description: bacterial SSU rRNA
Rfam family: Archaeal small subunit ribosomal RNA
Source: RNAcentral